ACCAGGCCUUGACAUGCAGAGAACUUCCAGAGAUGGAUUGGUGCCUUCGGGAACUCCGACACAGGUGCUGCAUGGCUGUCGUCAGCUCGUGUCGUGAGAUGUUGGGUUAAGUCCCGUAACGAGCGCAACCCUUGUCCUUAGUUACCAGCACGUUAUGGUGGGCACUCUAAGGAGACUGCCGGUGACAAACCGGAGGAAGUGGGGAUGACGUCAAGUCAUCACGGCCCUUACGGCCUGGGCUACACACGUGCUACAAUGGUCGGUACAAAGGGUUGCCAAGCCGCGAGGUGGAGCUAAUCCCAUAAAACCGAUCGUAGUCCGGAUCGCAGUCUGCAACUCGACUGCGUGAAGUCGGAAUCGCUAGUAAUCGUGAAUCAGAAUGUCACGGUGAAUACGUUCCCGGGCCUU
Molecule: ribosomal RNA, 408 nt
Filed under: uncultured Pseudomonas sp.
Lineage: Bacteria; Pseudomonadati; Pseudomonadota; Gammaproteobacteria; Pseudomonadales; Pseudomonadaceae
Description: bacterial SSU rRNA
Rfam family: Bacterial small subunit ribosomal RNA
Source: RNAcentral